CAGUCGUACCGACGAGAAAUCAACUUAUCGUGUGCGAACUUGUGGGCGUGCGUGAGUUUCGGCCUCGCUGUUUGCAUGUUUGUGCGCUUUGGGUGUACUUUUUCGUAUGGUAGGCCAACGUCAGUUUCGAUUAUCAUAAAAUGACCGGCGGAAUGUAGCUUCGAUUUCGGUUGAAGUGUUAUAGCCUCUGGUAGAUGUGGUGAUUGGGACUGAGGAUUGCAACGAAUAUCCUUUGGGCUAUCCGUCUGACCUCUGAAAGUUGCUCAGGUGCCGAAAGCGUGCUUACGGUCAUCUAAGAUAACGUUCAACUGGCUAGAACGUGAUUACAUUCGUUAAGGACGUUGGCGUAAUGGCUUUAAACGA
Molecule: ribosomal RNA, 363 nt
Filed under: uncultured Glomeraceae
Lineage: Eukaryota; Fungi; Glomeromycota; Glomeromycetes; Glomerales; Glomeraceae
Description: partial large subunit ribosomal RNA
Source: RNAcentral